This 252-nucleotide ribosomal RNA is filed under the name uncultured bacterium. Its description in RNAcentral is "partial 16S ribosomal RNA". It matches the Rfam family "Bacterial small subunit ribosomal RNA", at positions 524 to 776 of the family's 1533-position model. The record is from RNAcentral.
UACGUAGGUCCCGAGCGUUGUCCGGAUUUAUUGGGCGUAAAGCGAGCGCAGGUGGUUUAUUAAGUCUGGUGUAAAAGGCAGUGGCUCAACCAUUGUAUGCAUUGGAAACUGGUAGUCUAGAGUGCAGGAGAGGAGAAUGGAAUUCCUAGUGUAGCGGUGAAAUGCGUAGAGAUUAGGAAGAACACCAGUGGCGAAGGCGAUUCUCUGGACUGUAACUGACGCUGAGGCUCGAAAGCGUGGGGAGCAAACAGG